This 536-nucleotide ribosomal RNA is filed under the name uncultured bacterium. RNAcentral's name for it is "bacterial SSU rRNA". It matches the Rfam family "Bacterial small subunit ribosomal RNA", at positions 376 to 905 of the family's 1533-position model. The record is from RNAcentral.
CGCAGGCUGAGGCAGCCAUGCCGCGUGUGUGAAGAAGGCCUUCGGGUUGUAAAGCACUUUCAGUCGUGAGGAAGGUGGUGUAGUUAAUAGCUGCAUUAUUUGACGUUAGCGACAGAAGAAGCACCGGCUAACUCCGUGCCAGCAGCCGCGGUAAUACGGAGGGUGCGAGCGUUAAUCGGAAUUACUGGGCGUAAAGCGCAUGCAGGUGGUUUGUUAAGUCAGAUGUGAAAGCCCGGGGCUCAACCUCGGAAUUGCAUUUGAAACUGGCAGACUAGAGUACUGUAGAGGGGGGURGAAUUUCAGGUGUAGCGGUGAAAUGCGUAGAGAUCUGAAGGAAUACCGGUGGCGAAGGCGGCCCCCUGGACAGAUACUGACACUCAGAUGCGAAAGCGUGGGGAGCAAACAGGAUUAGAUACCCUGGUAGUCCACGCCGUAAACGAUGUCUACUUGGAGGUUGUGGCCUUGAGCCGUGGCUUUCGGAGCUAACGCGUUAAGUAGACCGCCUGGGGAGUACGGUCGCAAGAUUAAAACUCAAA